GUGUACAAGGCCCGGGAACGUAUUCACCGCGCCAUGGCUGAUGCGCGAUUACUAGCGAUUCCAGCUUCAUAGAGUCGAGUUGCAGACUCCAAUCCGAACUGAGACCGGCUUUCGAGAUUCGCAUCCUGUCACCAGGUAGCUGCCCUCUGUACCGGCCAUUGUAUGACGUGUGAAGCCCUACCCAUAAGGGCCAUGAGGACUUGACGUCAUCCCCACCUUCCUCCGGUUUGUCACCGGCAGUCUCUCUAGAGUGCUCUUGCGUAGCAACUAGAGACAAGGGUUGCGCUCGUUGCGGGACUUAACCCAACAUCUCACGACACGAGCUGACGACAGCCAUGCAGCACCUGUGUCCACUUUCCCUUUCGGGCACCUAAUGCAUCUCUGCUUCGUUAGUGGCAUGUCAAGGGUAGGUAAGGUUUUUCGCGUUGCAUCGAAUUAAUCCACAUCAUCCACCGCUUGUGCGGGUCCCCGUCAAUUCCUUUGAGUUUUAAUCUUGCGACCGUACUCCCCAGGCGGUCAACUUCACGCGUUAGCUACGUUACUGAGAAAAUGAAUCCCCAACAACUAGUUGACAUCGUUUAGGGCGUGGACUACCAGGGUAUCUAAUCCUGUUUGCUCCCCACGCUUUCGUGCAUGAGCGUCAGUCACGUCCCAGGGGGCUGCCUUCGCCAUCGGUAUUCCUCCACAUCUCUACGCAUUUCACUGCUACACGUGGAAUUCUACCCCCCUCUGACGCACUCUAGCCUUGCAGUCACAAGCGCAAUUCCCAGGUUAAGCCCGGGGAUUUCACGCCUGACUUACAGGCCCGCCUACGGACCCUUUAAACCCAAUAAAUCCGGAUAACGCUCGCACCCUCCGUAUUACCGCGGCUGCUGGCACGGAGUUAGCCGGUGCUUAUUCGUACAGUACCUUCAGCUGCCCUCACGAGGGCAGGUUUAUCCCUGUACAAAAGAAGUUUACAAUCCAUAGGACCGUCAUCCUUCACGCGGGAUGGCUGGAUCAGGCUUCCACCCAUUGUCCAAUAUUCCUCACUGCUGCCUCCCGUAGGAGUCUGGUCCGUGUCUCAGUACCAGUGUGGGGGAUCUCCCUCUCAGGACCCCUAAAGAUCAUCGACUUGGUGGGCCGUUACCCCGCCAACUAUCUAAUCUUGCGCGUGCCCAUCUCUAUCCGCCGAGGCUUUCAAUGGCGACCGAUGCCGGACACCAUAUUAUGGGGUAUUAAUCUUCCUUUCGAAAGGCUAUCCCCCAGAUAAAGGCAGGUUGCACACGUGUUACGCACCCGUACGCCGCUCUCUGGAUAGCAAGCUAUCCAUACCGCUCGGCU
RNAcentral lists this ribosomal RNA (1323 nucleotides) under uncultured bacterium. RNAcentral describes it as "partial 16S ribosomal RNA". The record is from RNAcentral.